GCCCUCGUCGCAUAACGGCAUUGCACGCGACUCGAACUCGCGGCCCUUUGGGCAUCCAGGUUCAAUUCCUGGCGAGGGCG
Molecule: transfer RNA, 80 nt
Filed under: archaeon
Lineage: Archaea
Description: tRNA-Ser
Rfam family: tRNA
About the family: Transfer RNA (tRNA) molecules are approximately 80 nucleotides in length. Their secondary structure includes four short double-helical elements and three loops (D, anti-codon, and T loops).
Source: RNAcentral